Equus caballus (horse) is the source of this 4598-nucleotide non-coding RNA. NCBI's taxonomy places the organism in Eukaryota, Metazoa, Chordata, Mammalia, Perissodactyla, Equidae. The record is from RefSeq and is a predicted model, not a curated record.
CGCGGCGCUCUGGGAAGGGGAUUCCGGGCUCCCUCUGCGCAUGUGCAGCCGUAGCCCCACCUCCUCCCUCGUCUUCUCCGGACUCCGCGGGAGCCGUUAGGUGCCCAGAGUCUCCUGAGAAAGUAGAGGGCGCGCCUGGGAGGCUGCGCUGCUGUCAGACGUGUCCAUCACCACAUGUGACAUUAAUGACAUCAUCCUGACCUCGCAGGAUCCCAGAAUAAUGGUGCUUGAAGGAUUUUCCAAAGUCAUCUACUUGCAACUCUCUUGAAAACUUUAAAGACAUUGGCCUGAAAGUUUCAGUGACUUGUCCAGGGAAACCCGGUUUGUGACAGAGUCAGAAGGAAAACUGCAGUUCCCUCUCAGAUAAGUCACCAAAAGCAUCUUAUCAAAGGGGCCUUCUCAGGAAUACAUCCCAGCUGAAACGAACAAUUAAAAAUUCCUGCCUUCAAGCAUCCCAUCUCUUUUCUGUGAAUUUUCUGUACCAAAAGCUGAGCCACAGUUCUCUACACUCGCCCAGGAGCCACAGAAAGUGAACAUCCCUCAGGUGUCAGUGUCAUUCAAGCACAUGCCUGUGGAGUUCCCCAGGAGGAGUGGCCGCAGGUGGAGUCUGCACAGAGGACCCUGUACAGAGACGUGGUGAUGCUGGAGAACUACAGUUGCCUUGUCUGGGAUAGAACUCUCCUCUACUUGAUUCGGCUUUCACACAAAAACACAGACUCACCUGGUGUGGAUAAAACACAAGAACAGGAGUCUGGGAACAAGGAAAACAGUCCUAGAAGCAGAACAAGAGUAUGGGAUCACUCGUGGACAGUGCUGCCAUCUCAUUUGGACAGGUCGCUUCCUAGAUGUGCUGAGUGUGCAAAUUCUGUCUCCUUGUCUCAUCCAGUGUUUCUCUGAAUGGAAGCAAGUAUCUGGGCACCAGGUGUGACUUGUUAUGUGACCCUAGCCAAUACAUCAGCCCCUUUGGGCCACCACCUCCCCUUGGUUAGAAGUCCUCCGGCCGUGGGUAGAUGGAAAACAUCCCAGAAUGGGAGUGACAUGCUCUGAGUUCCCUAGUACGGGCUUUGCCAUCGAUUGUGUGACUCAUUCUGAUGUUCAAACUGUGAGGAUCAAAUUUGAAAUGAUGGAUAUGUUAUAUUAAAUAUAUUAAUAAGAGCAGAAAUUAAACCUGUUGAGUUUAAAUGCAACCUGUAGGGUUUGCUUCCUCUAUAAGCCUGGCUGUCUCUGCAGGAGCUGAAGGUUGCUUCUUUAGGCUUGUUGUCUGGGAGCUAGAGCAGAGUGGAGAGACUGAGGUGGAGCCAGGGUGAGCCAUAUUGCACCUAGCUUUUCCUCCCCUCUAAGUCUGAAUACUGGCAGUGGUGAAUCAGGUGGUUCUAAGGGCUCCUUUCACUUUACCAUUCAUGAUGACCCCACACCACCUCUCCCUCCACGCCACCUUUUUCUCCUUCUUUGGAUGCUCCAACCUCUUUGACGUUUUUCAGCCACCACUCCACUCAGCUCUUAAGCAGCUUUGACCUUGAAGACAUGGAUAUGGAUGAGAACAAGGAUCCACUUGGCACCUUUGGCCACUUUUGCUUCAGUGAACUGAGUGGGGUGUCCAAGAAGAACCCCUGGUGUUAGGAAGACGUCUAAGAAUGUUCCAAUGAUCCCCGCCUCCUGAUAUUCACACCUUUGGACUCUCUCCUGGCUUUGAUGAAGCAAGCUUCCAUGUUGGAGAGGCCCACAGGAGAAGGAACUGAGGAUUGCCUCCAGCCAACUCCAGCCACAGCCACCAGGAAUUGAGGAUCUCAGUCCAACAGGCCUUGAGGAGCUGCAUCCUGCCAACAGCUAUAUAAGCAAGCUCAGAACUAUGUCCUUCUCCAGUUGAGCCUUCAGAUGAGACCCCAGCCCCAGCUGAUACCUUAAUUGCAGCCUUGUGAGAGACCCUGGAGCAGGGAACCCAGGUAGGCCUUGCCUGGACUCCUGACCCAGAAAAACUGUGAGUUAAUAAAUAUGUGUUUUUUUAAGCCACAAAAUUUUGGGGUAUCCAUUACAUAGCAAUAGAUAACACACCCCGAAAUUACUGUAACCUUGGUGUAAGAUAUAGCAUGGCUGGGAAGGCGGGCACCAAAUAGGAGGACGCCCUCUCGGACAGUCUCCCUGGAGAAACUGUCUUCAUGCUCAAAGAUUAUCCCCCAUCGUUUUAUGCUGCAGUGGUAGCAUUCUGCUCCACUAAGCCCAGAUCAGUCUCCAGGAGGCGAGGCCUAGGUAGUGUUGGGUGGAGUGCAUGGCCAGGAUGGGGUCAUGAAGAAUGAUGAUGAGGUCAUUCUUCCCCUUCUCCUUUUUUUUCUUCCUUUCACAUUCACUCCACCGUUGCAUUUUCUUUACUCUCUGUUUCUUUUCCCCCCAUAUCCUGGGUGGCUGCCCGAUGACCAUUCCUUCAGAGAUGGCCAGCUGCCCUCUUGGUCUUGCAAUACUGCUAUCAAGCUAGGCCUCCUGAAGAGGUUUACCUGAGGGGCGGCUCUUCCUGAUCUUCAGCGUCCCUCACAAGCUAGGAGACCUCUUUGUAGAUCUCAAAAUAUACCUUCUAGACAGAUUAACACCCUACGUAUAACAGACUCUUCAGCAGGACCCACCCAGUUCCUAGACCCUGCCCUGGCCACUCCAGUGUCCACAAUCGCAAAACCCAUCCAUACACAGCCCCCCAUUGACUGCCCACCUGUGAGAGUCUCUGGAGUCAGCAACUUUUUCUAAAUGAAAAUAAGCCGCUGUUUUCAGGAAAAUAUUCGUAUCUCUGAUCCUUUUCAGAGCUACAAGUUCCAUUCUCCCUACUGUUCUGGGAAGGUAGAGGAAGGGGAAAGGUGAACUGCUCCGCAUUUUCAUCAGGGUCAGGUGAGGAGUAGAGACAUGGCCCACACCCCAGAUUUCCUGAGGGAGAGAAGGACUCUUAGGAACAGGUGACAUUUAUUCCUCACCAAGAGAUCCAAGAGCAACAUUUCCCCCUACCACUCACCUCAGGGCCCAACCACCUCACACUUCCAAUUCCAAAACUUUCUGAAGCCACAAGGGGGAAUUCUGGCUGUAUUAUUCCAGAGGAAAGCAUCCCACCCUGCAGCUGUGUAUAGUUCAGGAUAAUGAGGGAGCAGAUGGAAAGACAGGUUGAGCCAAGUUCUGGACUUGAAGGGUUUUGCCCACUUUGAAAAGGACUGAAGUUUUUAGAGUAAACUUUUUGUACUUUUUAUGAAAGAAUAAAGUGUUUUAAAUAGAGGACAUCUGAGCUGGGUCAAAUAAAGGACCCAGGAUAAAAGUGAGACGGCCACUGUCAGGUCCCCAACAAGGGACUUGUCAUCUUUUAGAAACCAAAAGAGGCAAUCAGAGCUGACCUCCUCCUUCCUUUUCCUGAGCACAAGCCCCAGAGUACCCCAAACCUACAUGCCCAGUGCAUGAUGCAGAGAACAGCACUCUCUGUUAGCAGAAAAAAUUGAGGAGGAUUAGUUUUCCUGGUUGUGGCUAACCGUUGGUCUCAUCAGAGGAUGUGUUCUCAUGAAAACUGCAAGGCUUUCUCAACAAGGACUGAAUGAUUUCUUUGGGGACAUUUUUCCUCCCUGAAAGUGUUGGAGAAGCAUUUUCUGUUUGAAUAGAAGAGUCAAAUCCCUGAACCCAGUGCCUUCCUCAGGGGUGAGGGUGGCCAGAGGGACCUGGCAUACCUGAUGCAUGCAGCUGGGGCUUGGAUGGGGCAUAGACUCCCUGGAAGGCGGGGAAGGGGGUUGACUCUGGCAUAAAUGCUGGUCCUCGAAGGCUCCAACUUUCCAGGGAUGUCCGAUCCUGUCUCUGUUCUGGCUAACACUUAUAAACUACUCUGGUCAGCAGAGGCGGGGUCUUGGCUGUAGGAUGUGGUCCUUGCCCAUUCCCCUGGCUGGGAGUCAGAGAGAGCCCCGUAGUUGGCGGGAUGUCCCUUGUCAGGCUCUACUGGGUCUGCAGUUCCUCCUUCUGCUGACUUAACUCCAUGGCCUCAGGUUUGUACCCACAUGCUAGUGUCUCUUCUAGGAUCUUCCCCUUGGUUGCCAUGAGCUCAUGAGCUUCAGGAGGCCCACAGCUCACAGAGAGAGCUGUGCUUUCAGCUGGGUGUUCAUGUUGCACAAAGGUUGACAUGAACUUGGGUUUUUGCUGGGGACUUUGCUGCCCUAUGAUUUUUCUCUUGGAAUUGAUCCAUUGAAAAGAAAUUGCCUCCUCUUUUUUCUGAAGUAACUUUCAGGAAGAAGCUGUUCAUUCUGUGACAGAGAUGGGGAAGUGCCCUCUAAUUCUCUGUCCUCGAUAGAGUGGCUCUUCUUUCUGGCUUUAGAUGUCCCUACUCCUGAGUCCUCACUUCCACAUUCUCCUGCUUUGGAGCUUUCAGAGGCCUCACUCUCUUUGCAGCUGAUGAGAAGUUCUUAUUCGGGAACUUCCGUGACACACACUUAGAAACCCAGGGUUCCUGCUGCUGCUCCAUGCUGAUCCCGGUGUUCUCCAGGUGGACGUGCAGCACCUGGGAAACUCCCGUGUCCCCACUGGAAAUGCUCUGGGACUGAGUCAGGGAGGACUUAGAAGGCAAGCUAUCUGAAAUAAAGGACUUGUCUUGA